GUGAAAUUCAUCAUAUUCAGAUAAUAUAAGAAAUUUAAGAAAUAUGAAAAUAAAACCAAACAAUCUUUAAUUUUGCUAUACAUCAUAACAAAAAAUCAUGCUAAUUUGCAAUGACCAAAAGAAAACAAGGAGAUUGCAUUACACAAAGAAAGCAAAAUCAUACUCUCCCCAAAGAUUAGAUCUUCACAUAUACAUGUAAUCCCUGGGAGAAAUCUGGAGCCUUGCAUGCCUUGAUAUUUAUUCAAACAAACUAGUGUGUAUGAGAUGAAAAUAUUAAUUGUUAAGCUAUAAACCCUAUAUAUAUCAAACUACCUAAAGCUUAUAAAAGUUAUCUUUGUAAACUUUCUACUACAAAUGCAACUCACCAUAUUGUAACAUUAUAUCACCACAUUGUUUUCCCUGCUUAAGAACAACUGAAAAUAGUUUCAUGGCCAAAGCUUUUUCCAAAUAAACCUUGGCUUUCUUUAUCUUUUAAGAAAGAAGCCAUACCUAUACCUUAUUCCCCAAUCCUCUUUAAUUUCCUCACCAAACUAAAAUCUCACUGUAAUAAAUUAUAUGUAUGACUGCUACACCACAACAACAACAACCACCAAAACAAUAGUCCUUGUCAUUGCUGCUCUCUACCAGAAUAUCUCUAUCUUCUCUGAAGCUUGCCCUUGCUUGUAUCAGCAGCUAAUCGAAAAAAGGAAGAUCCAUCACCUUGAAUAACCAUAUUUGGGAUUAACUGAGGUGGGCUUUCUCUAUUAUGGCUCCCAUGAUCAUAAGAGAAGAAAGGUGGAUUAUUAUAGUAAUCAACAAGAGCUGGGUUCUUAGCUAAAGGAGCGUUUUCAUGGUCAAUUCGAUUUCUCAAGUUUUGGUCAAGCGAAUCUUUAAUGCUAGAACCACAUUGUCUAGGUUGAGUUUGGUAGAAAACCUUUGAAACCACUAGCUCUCCUUCUUUUUCUUCUUCGUUUUGGCCAAGAUGGUAUUGGUGCAUAACCCAAUUUGUCUUUUCAGGUUUUCUUUGCCUUCCAUAGUUUGUGUAAAGCACCAAAAUCUUUUUGAAUCCUUUCACCGUCCCUCCGGAGAAAACUGGCCUUGUUUUGCCUGUUUUGUGCCAUCUGGUCUCGCUCCCAUCUUCAUCAGUGUGCACUUUUCUGCGUUUUCUAGUUCCAGUUGUGUAUGCCUUUGAAGGCCUGUGAAAGAAGUGCCGGACUUGGCCAUCGUUGCUUACUCCUGGUAGCUUCUCAGGAUGGGUAUAGCAAAUACCAUUCUCUCCCUCAAUGGUUGGGAUGAAUUCGUCAAUUAGAGGGUGAAGCUUUCGCAUGUCAGACAAUAUCUUGGCUUCUAAAUGCUCAAGUAUUUCUUGGUCAGUCGGAUCAAACUUUACUCCUGCAGGUAAUCCUGGUAAAUCAUGAACUAUCCCACCAGCCUGAUCUUGCAACUGGAUAUCAUGGCCGCAAGAAGGGCAAGUUAUGGUUCGAAUUUGAUCAAUUUUGGUAUCAAUAACAGUGUUUUCUUUGGAGCUGGCUGUGACUAAUUGAAUAGCUCUUUCAUCAACUGAGUUAUUAUUGCACCAUGUCAUUUCUCUAGCUUAGCUCUUUGCCCAUCACACACUGGAAGUUCUAUUCUCUGUUCACUUUCCUCAAAAAGAAUCAAGAACAGACACUUCCAUCAGGAAGACAAAAAAAGAAAAAGAACAAACAAAAAAAAAGAAUAAGAUAAACACAGCUAAAAGAAAGAAAAUAUUGUAGAAAAAGAAAAACUUGUCCCUUUAAAACACUUUUUGUAUGCUAUAACCCAAAACCCACUUCUGGUAUCUUGAAGUUAGGAAAGGAAUUUAAUGCUUCUACACCUUCUGUUGCUUCUAUGGUGCGAUUGCGUUACAACUCCUAGCCACUGCAGAUUCUUGCCACAGAGAGAGAGACAGGGAGAGACAGAGAGAAAGAGAGAGAAAGCAAUGAUUUUACCAAAGAUGGAGGAGUUGGGUUAGCAACCAUCCAUUAAUGGGGGUGAGUGGGACUUGAUGGUCAUUGCACAUGGAUAUUGUGGCUAGUGGGGAAGCUGCUUGCACAGCAAAUCUAUCAAACCUAGAAAAAGAAUAGUUGCAAUAGUUUGCCUUUGCUUUACCUUUU
Molecule: unclassified non-coding RNA, 2114 nt
Filed under: Hevea brasiliensis (rubber tree)
Lineage: Eukaryota; Viridiplantae; Streptophyta; Magnoliopsida; Malpighiales; Euphorbiaceae
Source: RNAcentral